AAAUAGGCCCUGCCACCUCUGGAAACAGUUCUACAUACACUGGCUCAAGAGAAGGGCUGCUGUAGAAUAAGGUGCGGAAGAACAAUCCAUGAGAGUUCUGGAGGGCUGAUACUCCCUGCCUGGAGGCCUGCUCCAUCGACCUUUACUGCUGUUGGAGAGAUUUUCUGGGUGCAGGUAUAGGCAGGUACAUGAGUUCCAGUCACUGUUUGCACCAGAGGCCUGCACAUCAGCCACAGGAAGGUCCUCCAGGAGGUGUUCCAGCAGAAGGCCUUGUCACAGGAGUGAUUGUUCCACGUGUGUUUGCACUUGAAGACCUUCCAAGGGGAUUGAAGACAGAGGUGGAAAAUGGACACCUGCAUACCUAGAAGAGGUUUCAUGUGGAUGGUCUUGGUGCAGAAUGCAGAGGAUUUUGGUCACAAUACAAAAAAGAAGAAGAGCCAGUGGUGACUGAGCCAGAAGAGGUGAAGAAACAACCUGUCCCAGGGUGUCCACCCUUACAAUGCCAAACAUCUAUCACCUGAAGAUCUCCAGAGUCAUUUGGAAUCCCAGUUAAAGAAGUUUUUGGUCAAUCUCCAUGGAAGAUCAUCUGAAGUUCAGUUUUUUGGCACAUUUAGUUAAUGACUUGUACCAUGCAAAGCCUAACUCCAGGUUUCACUGGAAGUGCAGGGUUAGAGAGAUUCCUGUCUUUUGUUAUGUUCCUGUUCAAGAUGGACCUAAACUUUAUGAAUUUAAUGGCUGUAGUCUGCCUCCCAGUUUGAAAAUCACUUGGAGUUACUGAGUAAUUCAGCAGAUGAACACAUUUAAAUAGUUUUUUUCUCUUAGCAAGGGGGCUGCCUAUUGGCCUUUCUGAUACUUUAUCAUGUGCAAUGCUAUCAGAACUAUUCUCUAAACCCACUUUUUCUGUAGAAGAAUGCAUCAGCUUUUUUUCUUAUUAUCAUAAAUCAACAAAGAAAUUACAGGAUUUUCUAUUUUCACAUUUGCUGAAAGCAUUUUUUAAAAAUCAGGUCAUUAAUAAUUUAUGAAAACUCUCUUCUCCAGGGGACACUGUAAUUAACUUGGGCUUAAGAUAAGUGGCUAUUAUAAGUUCAGAUGUAGUCUUUACCCAUCAGAGGCAUAAAGUAGUGGUUGCAGCAAAAUGUUUUAAUCCUGGUAAGACUUUUAAGCCUAAGAUUACAUAUAGCAUAUAUACAAAUAAGGAAACUUGAAGUUGGUGUUGUAUAUUAUAGAGUUACUUCUUUCACUGUUGUUUUACUUCACAAGUAAAGAAGCAGAAAAUGAUACCGUGGGUUCUAGAUUAAAAUAAUUUUUUUUAACUCAAAGUAGAUUUCUUUAAAAAAUAAUUACUGUCUCUUAAUUGGCUACAUUUUAAAACUGGUAUUGGAAAAAAGAUAUGAAAAUAAGUGAGAAAAACCUGGA
This is a long non-coding RNA of Sciurus carolinensis (gray squirrel), 1416 nucleotides long. RefSeq lists it as uncharacterized. NCBI's taxonomy places the organism in Eukaryota, Metazoa, Chordata, Mammalia, Rodentia, Sciuridae. The transcript is spliced from 4 exons. The record is from RefSeq and is a predicted model, not a curated record.